AACGAACGCUGGCGGCAUGCCUAACACAUGCAAGUCGAACGAGACCUUCGGGACCAGUGGCGCACGGGUGCGUCACGCGUGGGAAUCUACCCUCAGGUUCGGAAUAACUCAGAGAAAUUUGAGCUAAUACCGGAUGAUGACGUAAGUCCAAAGAUUUAUCGCCUGAGGAUGAGCCCGCUUAGGAUUAGGUAGUUGGUGAGGUAAAGGCUCACCAAGCCGACGAUCCUUAGCUGGUCUGAGAGGAUGAUCAGCCACACUGGGACUGAGACACGGCCCAGACUCCUACGGGAGGCAGCAGUGGGGAAUAUUGGACAGUGGGCGAAAGCCUGAUCCAGCAAUGCCGCGUGAAUGAUGAAGGCCUUAGGGUUGUUAAGCUCUUUUACCCGGGAUGAUAAUGACAGUACCGGGUGAAUAAGCCCCGGCUAACUCCGUG
This 433-nucleotide ribosomal RNA is filed under the name uncultured bacterium. RNAcentral's name for it is "partial 16S ribosomal RNA". It matches the Rfam family "Bacterial small subunit ribosomal RNA", at positions 29 to 507 of the family's 1533-position model. The record is from RNAcentral.